UGUUCCAGCAUAGAUUUUAAGAGUUUACACGUUCACAGUUUUACCUUGUUCAUAACCCCACGUGCGUCUGCGGCUUCGGCAGUAAAACCAAAACCCGGCAGCUGUCAAAAAAUGUGCAGUUAUCACCAAAAUCGGAGCCAGGACGUAGCGGUCGGAGAGAGGUCCAGACUGUUGCCGUGGCGCUGCCUCUUCAGAACCAGUAAAUAAAUGAACACGAACUAACGGAAAUGUAAGUGCGGCGGUGAGAAGGAAACCACAGGAGUCGCUGCACGCACUUCCUCUACCACACCUGAUGAAUGUCUCUAUGAACUCAAUGAGAUCUGACCUGUAACUUGGCCUGGUAGUGUCUUCUGCAUGUGUCCGUGAAGAAUUAGAAAAGUUUAAGGUGGGCUCUUCUAGAAAAGUUACACAGUGCAUCUUUAAAAUAGCUGCAAAAAGAGGAUUUGAAAUGAUAAAAACCUGCAUCAAAGUCACAUUUUAAGCACAAUUCCAGUUUAUUUUUUCCUAUAUCCCACCCGGAAUAUUCAAGAAGUCAACUGAUAUUUUGCACCUGAUCAACAACAUUUCCUGGUGGUGUGACGCUAACUGUACGCACUGCUCUGUCUCACGAUCUGUUACUCAAAUCAGACUUUCAUCUGAGUUUCGUUUUACCACAAUUGGCCCAGAAAAGAACUGACAACAGAUGAGCCGAUUUGAAACGUCUCACACGCAAUUUUGCAUUUUUCACUUGCGUUAUGAGACAAUCUUGAAACUUUCUGUCAGUGUUUAUUAAUGUGUGCAUCGCGUCACCAUGGUAACUUCUACAUUCCACCGUAGACGUACAUGUAGAACACCUCCCAGCAUGAUGUCAAGGCAAAAUAUCGAUACAAAGGACCUAUUCAUCUGCUUGACAUGUCGGCUGUUGCUGGGGGGUGACGCGUCUUCUGAUUGGAGCCUGGGUGAUGCAGCAGAGUCCAGCAGUGACUCAGGUCUGACUAAAGUUACCGUCACCUCUCCCGAAAUCUCCCCGAUGUGAAUGUGGGCGGGUGAGAGCGGGCGAGACAGGAGGGGGGGCAGAAAUCAGCUGCUGUUUUUGUCUUAGCAACCGCCACAUAAACAGUACACAAACUAAUAUCAGAGAGACCGAGCAAUCAUCAGAGCCAGAGUGCAAUAUUCAAGUGUUAAAGUGCAAGUAAAAUUGGGUUAAAGAUGCACUGUGUAGCUUUUCUGGUGGAGGGUAAUGCUGUUUUAUUACUUAUUUUUCUUUUUUAUUUUGACAUGUACAUAUACAUUUAUAUAUUGUGCCUCUUGCCAUCUUCUUUUCUGCUACUUAUUUAGAAUUUAUUAUUACUCAGAGUGUCAUGGUCAGUGUGUGGGGGCCUUAGGCGAACUUGGGUUUCGGGCCCUCACUAUAAUGCAAAUUUAGUUUGUUUUUAAUUUUUGUUUUGUUUUUUUCCCCAUUGUUCUUGAGACUGGAAGUAGUUUUUAUUUUUUUGCUAGUACAAUUACAUUUUUGUUUACAUCCGUUGGUGGUUGAUGGUAGCGCUGUUUCUGGUAACGGUACAUGUUUUCGUGCCGAAUUGUUUCGUUUUUUUGGCCAAAAAUAUAAAGACUGAGUAAAACUUCAUGCUGGAACUGUUAAUGCUGUGCUUUACUUUAUAAUAUUUCAUACAUUUAUUGCUUAUUGCUGAAUAUUUACUUAGUUUAAUAGUACCAAGCAGCACUUUGCAUUUAUUUUAUUUUCCCAUUUGUAUAAUGUUAAAACAAACUGCUGGUUUAAUAAAAACACAAAUAAACAACAAGCAAGUGGUUUUGCAUUUUGUUCCCAAACUGUACCAAAAAUGAUCCAAACCAUGACCUCAAAACUGAGGUGCAUACCAAACCGUGCUUUUUGUGUACAGUUACACCCCUAAUUAUCACCAUUUAUUUUUUCACUUUUUUAUUAUUUUAUAUUGUGAUGUGUGAGCGAAUGUGUCCAAAUAAUUUCCCUCGUGGAUCAAUAAAGUUUGUCUAAGCCUAAGUUUAAUGUUAUUGCUUUGUCUCUAGCUUUGAUACUUUGCAGUGACAUCAUGCUGGGGGAGUUCUACAUGUAUGUCUAUGGCAAAAAUGGUCAGCAGAACCAUGGUCACACAAUGCACACAUUUGCAAACAUUGCCUGAGUUUUUAGACAGUCUGAAAACUCAACAAAAAAAUACAAAAUGGAUUAAAACAACACGUUUUUGUGAUCAAUCCGAGUUUUCGUGGUCGUGUUUAGGAGUUUGAUUUUCAGCAAAAAGGUGAAAGUGACAAACUGAAAAACUGCUGGCUAAAAUGUUUCACAGCAAACAACAAAUGAACUCACCUGUUGUAGUUCCAAGAAAGUGAGUCAUU
This is a long non-coding RNA of Boleophthalmus pectinirostris (great blue-spotted mudskipper), 2349 nucleotides long. RefSeq lists it as uncharacterized. The record is from RefSeq and is a predicted model, not a curated record. The transcript is spliced from 3 exons. Lineage: Eukaryota; Metazoa; Chordata; Actinopteri; Gobiiformes; Gobiidae.